UNGUUGCCUGUGCUGGCAUGUCCAUUUGUGU
This 31-nucleotide non-coding RNA is filed under the name Mus musculus (house mouse). The record is from RNAcentral. Lineage: Eukaryota; Metazoa; Chordata; Mammalia; Rodentia; Muridae.